GGAUAUGAGGAGAGAUCUGGCUGAGACAUGUCACCCCAUUGAUCGCCGGGGUUGAUUUGGCUUAUCUGGUUGGCUCAGUGGGAUUCCCUCCUCCCUCACCACUCCAUGUGCAUCCCUCCCAAAGCUGUGCACCCGGUAGAAGAGGAUGGGCUUCCCUGAAUAGAGACGUAUUGGUCUUCAGUCAAGGGUGUAUGAGUAGCUGUGCUCCUUACUAGAGCCUCCAAACAAGCUCUCAAGUUUGGAAUAUACCUUCAUAUAUUAGGCAGGUGCUUCUUCUAAACAAAACCAACAGAUUAUAUUACUUGUAUUACUUGUCAUCCUGUU
RNAcentral lists this small nuclear RNA (324 nucleotides) under Sorex araneus (European shrew). RNAcentral's name for it is "7SK RNA (ENSSARG00000017679.1)". It matches the Rfam family "7SK RNA". From Rfam's summary of the family: 7SK was discovered as an abundant small nuclear RNA in the mid-70s but a possible function has only recently been suggested. Two independent studies have found that 7SK RNA binds the CDK9/cyclin T complex (known as elongation factor P-TEFb). The record is from RNAcentral. Lineage: Eukaryota; Metazoa; Chordata; Mammalia; Eulipotyphla; Soricidae.